This 433-nucleotide ribosomal RNA is filed under the name uncultured bacterium. Its description in RNAcentral is "partial 16S ribosomal RNA". It matches the Rfam family "Bacterial small subunit ribosomal RNA", at positions 29 to 507 of the family's 1533-position model. The record is from RNAcentral.
AACGAACGCUGACGGCAUGCCUAACACAUGCAAGUCGAACGAAGUCUUCGGACUUAGUGGCGCACGGGUGCGUAACGCGUGGGAAUCUGCCCUUGGGUACGGAAUAACUCAGAGAAAUUUGUGCUAAUACCGUAUAAUGUCUUCGGACCAAAGAUUUAUCGCCCAAGGAUGAGCCCGCGUAAGAUUAGCUAGUUGGUGGGGUAAAAGCCUACCAAGGCGACGAUCUUUAGCUGGUCUGAGAGGAUGAUCAGCCACACUGGGACUGAGACACGGCCCAGACUCCUACGGGAGGCAGCAGUGGGGAAUAUUGGACAAUGGGCGAAAGCCUGAUCCAGCAAUGCCGCGUGAGUGAUGAAGGCCCUAGGGUUGUAAAGCUCUUUUACCAGGGAUGAUAAUGACAGUACCUGGAGAAUAAGCUCCGGCUAACUCCGUG